AGUGAACGCUGGCGGUAGGCCUAACACAUGCAAGUCGAACGGCAGCACAGUAAGAGCUUGCUCUUACGGGUGGCGAGUGGCGGACGGGUGAGGAAUACAUCGGAAUCUACUUUUUCGUGGGGGAUAACGUAGGGAAACUUACGCUAAUACCGCAUACGACCUACGGGUGAAAGCAGGGGAUCUUCGGACCUUGCGCGAUUGAAUGAGCCGAUGUCGGAUUAGCUAGUUGGCGGGGUAAAGGCCCACCAAGGCGACGAUCCGUAGCUGGUCUGAGAGGAUGAUCGGCCACACUGGAACUGAGACACGGUCCAGACUCCUACGGGAGGCAGCAGUGGGGAAUAUUGGACAAUGGGCGCAAGCCUGAUCCAGCCAUACCGCGUGGGUGAAGAAGGCCUUCGGGUUGUAAAGCCCUUUUGUUGGGAAAGAAAAGCAGCAGGUUAAUACCCCGCUGUUCUGACGGUACCCAAAGAAUAAGCACCGGCUAACUUCGUA
Molecule: ribosomal RNA, 492 nt
Filed under: uncultured bacterium
Lineage: Bacteria
Description: partial 16S ribosomal RNA
Rfam family: Bacterial small subunit ribosomal RNA
Source: RNAcentral